CUUUGAAGAGGCAAUCCGCUGCUCGUUCGAAGGAGAGGAAGAUUCAUUUCACAAGUGAACUUGGAAUGAAGGGUGCAAAUUCUUCAGACAGAGGCAACCACUCUUUCUGCCCUGCUCACACUUCUGCAGAGAGACAAUACAGAUUUGAAUGCCGAGAACAGAGAACACAAACUGCGGUUGCAGGCUAUGGAGCAACAGGCCCAACUCCGUGAUGCUCCGAAUGAAGCUAUGAGAGAAGAAGUGCAGCGGCUUAAGAUAGCAACCAGACAACUUCCAACCGCAGAUGGAAAUCCUCUUAACUGAGGGCUUCUGCAUCAUGCAUCAAACUAUUACUCUCACCCACAGCAAUUACCUCCCCUGAGUGGGCGUCAAGCACAGCAUCUGCAUCCAUCUCAAACGCAAAGUUCUUCGAGUGGUCAGUCACCCAGUGUUCAUCCCCCUAAUGAUCCCAUGGACAUGUGAGCCCAAGGUCACCAAUACGAUACAAUACAUAGCACAUUUACAAGCCCUAGUUCUAGAUAGAUUUGUAGUGAUGAGAUAAGGUAGACUAAAGGUCAUUCAUGCUGAAUGUAGAUUAUACUACCUUGUUAAAGAGCUGUUCUCCUUUAGAUUAUGUCUCUAAUUGGUAUGUUUCAAGUGAACAGUCUGUUGGCUGUCGCUAAUUCUGCACAGAGUUGAUAUGGAGAUUACCUAUCGACAUGACGAUGAAUGUGUUCUAGAAAUAUCAUCUUUUAUUUUUUAAGCAAGC
Non-coding RNA from Musa acuminata subsp. malaccensis (wild Malaysian banana), 748 nucleotides. NCBI's taxonomy places the organism in Eukaryota, Viridiplantae, Streptophyta, Magnoliopsida, Zingiberales, Musaceae. The record is from RefSeq and is a predicted model, not a curated record.